RNAcentral lists this long non-coding RNA (247 nucleotides) under Setaria italica (foxtail millet). RNAcentral's name for it is "long non-coding RNA (SITA_LNC004739)". Lineage: Eukaryota; Viridiplantae; Streptophyta; Magnoliopsida; Poales; Poaceae. The record is from RNAcentral.
AAAGGUACAUCUUGCAAACACAUUAAUCCCAAUGACUAUGUUGUCAUUAAUCACCAAAAUCAUAAUAGCCUAGGGUCAUUUUCCUUACACACUUCCAAGUGAUUGAGUCCAGAUUUUCUGUCUUGAAUGCGGAUCUCACGUAUCUUUAACUCACUUUACUCAAAUUUUGUUUCGCUGACCUAUAAAAAAAAUAAUUGUUUCAUUAGAGCGUUGGCUAAGUAAAAUGUAGUACUCAUGCAGUGGUAUC